Taeniopygia guttata (zebra finch) is the source of this 6634-nucleotide long non-coding RNA. The record is from Ensembl. NCBI's taxonomy places the organism in Eukaryota, Metazoa, Chordata, Aves, Passeriformes, Estrildidae.
GCAGAAGUUCAGUGGCAAACUCUGACCACCUGGAUAAGGUAAAAAACUUAUUACUAGAGAAGUAGGUUUUAGCAAACAGCUAGAUUUUGAGACAUCCUGUACCUGAAAUCUUGAGCCCUGAAACAAGAAUGAAAAACAUUCAUUAGAAUUUCAAAGGUUCUCAGGAAGAAGUGCCAGAGUGAAGGAACUGGACAACAGAUGAAUGGACUUCUGGCAACUUUCAGAUCACGCUAGGACAGACUAUUCCUACUGUUACUGCACAGUAUGAAUAACAAAGAUAUUCCUAAAACAUUAUUUCAUUUUCUUACAAUCAAGAAUAUUUUGCAACCAAAGUUAAUAAAACUUUAAGUAGGUUGCCUUUGUUUGCAAAUUAAUUACACAUUAGAAUAAACUGCCCUGCAAAACAAUGUGAAAUAAGGAAAUACACUUGCUUCUUUCACAUGAUGCAAAAUCAAUUGACACAUACUUUUGCCCCAGAAACAAUGGUACAGACAGACAAAGAAAAGACAAUCAUUAACAAAUAAUUUUCCUCACAAUAAAUUAUCAAGUUGCAAAGUGCUUGGUAUUAGGGUGUCAUUCAGUAAGCUAGGCAAUUAGUAACCUUUUUUGGUUAAUACUAGGGAAGCAGUACGGAAACUAGCUAUCAAAGCGUGGGGUGGAAAUCCAAGAAUGUGGGUGCACAGGAUUUUGUGAAUGAAAGUGUAAAAAGAUGUGAUGAGCAUUCUCUCUGUUUAACCCUGCAAAGUCAGCCCAGCCGGUCAGACAGACUGCUUGCCCAAGAACGGUAAUGACAGACUGCCUGGGUUCGUGUCUGCACACUCACAGCCUCGCGGGCUCCAGUGACAAAGAACACCUUUAGAGAAGACCACUGGCCAGUCCUGUAGCAAUAACAGCUUUGGAAUUUACAAACAAAGAUGUUUUGCAUAACUGUCUACCAGUUAUCAAGCCAGGCCAUGAAUUUCAGAGCGAAGACAGCAAUCAAUCAUUACUUCUAAACUGAGAAGUGAGUGCUCCUGUCAGUGAUGUUUAACAGAACUGACAGAAGAUCUGUUGAACAGCCUGAAUGCUAAACAACCUGAAUUAUUUAGAGAUGCUCUGAGCAGGGGUUUUGACAAGAUGACCUUUGUACAUCCCUCCCAAUCUAAAUUAGUCUGUGAUUCUCUUUUAUUAUCCCAUGCUUUCCUAUGCUACCUGAAAUGCCAGCCAUGGCUCUUAAUAACUGAUGGCAGUUAAAAACUGGUAAGUCAAAAAACAAAAGCGGAAAAUCCAUUAAAAAACAGACUUAUUCUCCAGAGCCAAUGUGAGGGCUGGGACAGGAACCAGGGCCUUUUUCUUGAGCCUUGAAAAAUCACCUGGGGCAAGAUUUUAUUGCAUGCCUAUGCGGCACUGAGGUACUGAACACGUGGAGAUUCUGGGAUGCUACAGCAAUGGCCUCAAGCUCUGAAGUAUGCUAGAUCCUGCCCUGGCUGCUUUCCAAGCAGUCCCUCUUUCCAGGCCCUUGUAACAGAAACUGCUACACCCGUCUGAGCUGCAGCCAGGGAGGCCAGCCCAGAAUACCAGCUACGCCCUUCAACAACAGAAGUCCCCCAGCGCCAGUCAUUAAAAACAAAUUCAUAGCCCAUUGCCCUGUUUGAGGCAAAAAGGUGGCACAGGUGUGCCUGCCCUCUGCAGCUGCUCAGACAGAGCUGCUGCUUGGUGCAGUGAAACAGGACAGCCUGCAUUUUCUUCUGUCAGGCUAACAAGCCACUCUCUACAUCCAGUGCGUGAAUCCUCCUCUCCCUGUUAAGGCACACAGCAUCUCCAGAGAGACAGGAAGUCUUCACACGACUUAGACUAAGCUUAUAAAGAAACAGACCACUUUAAAAUACAAAAAAAUCUUUUACAGGCACAGCUCUAAUUGAACAAAGGAAGAGCAGCAUUGUUUCACACAUCUGAAGUGCUAGAGGGGCUUACUGGGAGAACUUAGAGCUCUGCGGAUGGCAGCACACACAAAAAAAAGGCUUUUCCUACAUCUCUACAUUCCCAGAAAAUAAGUAACUUGGAUUUGAUCUCAUAUUAUUUGUCAGCAGCUAGGUUGCCUGGUAGAAGCUAAACAGAGUCUGAGAUGCUUUCUGCCACAUAUAUUACCUGUUUCAGUUUACUCUGCAGAAGCAUGUAAGAUCCUACACAAUAUUCUUGUCAGUGGGCACCUGAUUUAUCAUACACUGCAUUAGCCUUCAAGGCUUCAUAGACUAAAGCUGACAUAAUGAAAAUCAUGUUCAAGACCUCCAUGCUGCAGCUGUUUUGACUCUAGCUGUACUUUCAGCCACAGUUCAGGAGAUCAGUCCCUCUGAUAGAAAAAUGGAGUACCAAAUGAGGGUCCCACUUGGUUCACUGCCUCCCUGUGAGACCUUCUGGCUGAGCUCUCUCUCAGGUAACUUGCUUCCUACUUAGGUGGCACAGAAUGGAUUGUUUUCCUUUCCAUGCCCUGCUGUUUCCAUUGAUUAUUCAAAGGCAACAGUGCCAGGCAAGUUUGGGACAACAGCACUGUUAUGGCAUCUAAGGGUCAAGCAUGAGAUGGAGAUGGUGUCAUGCUUCUUUAGGCUGGCUACCAGAGCACUUGGCUGUCACAGCUGAGGGGGACAGUCAGUUCAGCUGAGAGGGUGCCCACCCCUUAGCCAUGGCCAUGUGCCUUUCCCUGAAGCUGCUAAGGCACUUGGAGAGAACAGAAUCACAGAGGAGCUGAGGCAGAAAGGGAACUCUGGAGAUCAUCCAGCCCAAAACCUCUGCUCAAAACAAGCAUAGCUGGAUGAGGGUGCUGAGGAUCAUGUCCAAUUGUGUUUUGAGUACCUCCAAGGAUGGAGACUCCAUAGCUUCUCCUGACAACCUGGUUCAAAGUUCCAGUAUUCUCACAGCAAAUAAGUUUUUUCUUACAUUUUCAUCAUUCUCUAGCAUAGGAGACAUAAUUUCCUAGCAUAGUCUCUCCAUCUGGUCUGUCCACUGGAGAAGGAAUGUUGCUAUCAACAGCCCCCUUUGGUAUGCAGGUCAUCUGCUGGCCUGGAGAACAGUGCCAGACUGUCUGAGUCACAGCUCCAAAGGCUGCACCUGAUCCCAAGAGCCUGGUGAAGGUCAGAGAUGCUCCUUGUUUGCUCAAUUGCUCCUUGUUUGUAUUGAUUUUCAAAGAACAAUCUGUGAUUAAAACAGGCUCUGGAUGCCAGGCUGAUGGCAAGUCCUUCCUCAAGUAAGGGACAGCCAGGUGGCACAGCUGGAAGGUGGAAAGCACAGGCACAGAAGGGACAUACAUCACAUAGAAAGCACAACUCUGGUUUACUACAGGGAGGAAGGAAUUCAUUAGCUAAUCAAGUGAAUUGGAGAUAUGCCAUGUAUUUCUCAGACCUAUGCAUGCUUAUAUAAAAUAAAGAGUUGUAUUUUUUGGAUGACAAGUUCCUCAAAGCUUUUUAUUUUUCUUAAUUGAAACUAUUUUUUUGCACCUGAGAAAAAGCCACAAACAAUGAACAGCAAACAAAUUGUUCUUCAAAGGAAGGGUGAUUUAAGAAAGGGUUUAAUUAGAAAUAAAAUUAAAGUAGAUUAACUGCCAUUUGUUCUUUUUGUUUCUGAAGUUUUCUAACCAGAUGAGUUUUGAAAAGUUUUCUUUGCAGCAGUAAUAGACCAGACACCAGCAAGCUGAAAUACUGACAGCUUUGUUUUAUAGAAGGAUGCUGUUUAGCCAUGCAUACAAAAGAUCAUAAGAAUUAUUUUUAUCUUCAGUUCUUCAUUUCAAACCCUUUGACAGAAACUCCACCCACAUAGCCAAAUACAACCACACCAGCUGAGCAUAUCUUUGGGUCAUGGCACAGUUACCAUGGCCACAGUUAACUCAAUGCUCAUAAAUGCUUUAUGUGUUGCAUACACAACACAGGCUCUGUCAAAAAAUCAGCACAAAGCUGUUUUCUAAGCCAUAAUUUUUUUUUAAAUUAUGUCCUUUAAGAAGUCUGUCUCUAACACUCCCUUUCUUGCACUGGACCCAGUAAAAUGUGACAAAAGGGCUACUCUUCUCUCAAACAAAUGGCCACCUUCCCAUCUAUAACCAACAUGGCAUGUCCUGUAAUACUGCAAUAAGGCUGUUGCUUUAAAACUCUUUUUUUAUCCUCUUAAAUAACCUCAAAUUCCAAGUUCAUCCUGCUGGCUGUUAGCUAUUAUAGACUGGGAUUGAUGAACUCCAGCAUGUAGCUCCCUUCUAGCUCAGAAUACAGUACAAUUUGUACCGAGUUUCCCAUUAUGACAGGAAAUGGACAAGAAGAUAUCUAUCAGUACCUUCAAUCUACAAGAAUCAUCAGGGAGAUGUCAAUAUGGGAGACCAAAGCAUACCACUGAAAAUCUUGCUAUCACUAUCCUGUCAAGCUCUCAAAAUUACUGCUGCUCUGCUAUCUUGUUUGCAAAAAGGCUGACAAGCUCAGAAAACUGACCCACAAUGCCAAAAAUACCUGACCAUGUGCCUUCCCAGUCUACUCUUCCCCAGGACAAAGCUCUGGUUUUGUUGCUGCAGAUAAGCAGAAAAAACCUGCUCAGCCCCUGCUCUCACAGCCACAGCUUGCUGCAUUUAACACACUUAGAGGGGAGAGAGGGACACCAAGCUUUUGAUGGGAGAAGCCUGAAACUCAGGUCGUGCUACAGAUGCCUGUGCUUAAAGGCUUCACCUUUAAGCAGCUGCAGCCUCCCCAGAUUUUGCAAGCUGUGUAGCAUCUGUGCGUCUUCACGACAGCAAGAACACAGUGCCCUGUCGUCCAGCUCCUCUCUAGUGAGUUGAAGCAGAGCACCACCAGGUGCCUGGGUCGUAAGGCUCUUGUACAAUAUGAUUCACCCUCUAGUGGAUGACACAGGACCUGUUUACCUGCAUAAAUUUGGGUAACCACUGGCCAGGUGGGUAAAUUCUGUCCCAGUCUAGAUGACAUUUUGCUCAUCUAACAGCUUCUAACAAUCAAAAAAGCCAGAUGAUGAAAGCCAGCACAUAAAUCCAACAUAUAGAAUCAGUGUAACGUUCUAAAACAAAGGAGUCUUCAACUUACAGUUGCUUACUGUAAUGCAGGAAAUUAGUAAGUACAUGAAACAGAAGAUAAAUUUAACAAAUUUUAUUAAAUGUACUUAUAAAUUACAUUCCUGUGUGUCAUGCAUGAUUGUAUAAUUAGAUAUAUCCCAUUCUGCCUUGAGUGAAGAUGUUAAUUCCUCUAAAAGCACAGAUGAGAGAAACUGCACCUUGUAGCUUCACAAACUGGUGAAAAUUCAGCUUAAAAAAAUACAGGUCUGCUAGACCACCUAAACCAAAUAAAAAGUUUUGGCUUCAGGUUUCCUUAAUUUCCCUCAUGAAAAGCCAGACAAGGUUGACAUCAGUGUAGUUUUGCCACAGGUAAGGGAUUCAAACCCAUAAUCUCCAGCCACACCAAUACUCCCUUGGAUGAAGUCGUUCUUUCAAAUGCUCUUUUUGAUAGUCACCAUUUGUACUGCUUUGCAUCACCAAGAGGCCUCAAGAGCAUGUGAACUACACUGCUUCCAAAAGAAACUGGAACCAAAAUUUCCAGAUGCUAUGUGGAGAAUUUCCACAAGGUAGUCCAAAAUAAAGCCUUCCAAAACAUACAUCAAAUAGAUGCCAGGUCCUCUUCAUCCCCACUCCUCCUGGCUGCACUUUGCUGGCACUCAGCAAUAAGGGAGAUCAGGUACUGCAUCUCUACAAGUAGACCCUCAGAAAUUGCAGUUCCUUAAGCAAAUGAGUUGAGUUUUUGUUUGCACCACUUUGGAGAAUGAGAUUUACUCCAACCCUUGAGACUGAGCUAAAUGCUGAAGGCUUUCUGGUAUAGCACCUAAAAGAAGCAAACUGGAAAGUUCACAGAUUCAAAAGAAAUUUUUUUGAUAUCUACUUAUCUAUUCUGGGAAAUCAGUGAGAUAGUUGGUAUUUGCAAUCCUAAAAAGUGAAGUGUGCAGGUUACAAUGAAAUCCAGCAGAUGGAGAAUCCAUUAUGUCCUUUGAAAACCCAAGCCUAAAGUGCUUUGAAAACUGAAAAUCCACAGUAUUUUGUAAUGAUAUCUAUGAAGGAAAGUAUAAAAUUUCAUUUACCAUCCUGGCAAGACAAGUGCUACAACCAAGAAAAAAAUUUCAUAUAUAUUUGUCAUAUAUCAGUUUUAAGCUUCCUCUAACAAGCAAUAUAUGUCAAAGACUUGUUCAGCUGAAGAGGCCGAAAUUAAAUUUGUUGGGCUCAGACCUAUGGAACCAGUCCAACAGUGUUUAUUCCCUAUGUAGAAAUUAAACCACCAAGUUUGCUUCUGAAGCUCACAACAUUCCACCAGAAAAGUUCCUGGAGGGGGGAAAAAAAAAAUCAAGUGCCAGGUAUACACAAGUAUAGAACACACAACAGCUGCAGACCUGUGGGCUUCCAACUAUUCCAGUUCCUCCAGUGAGGCUCUAGAAAAACAUCGUUCUCUGGACUGACAAACAGAUCACAGGACAUGUAAUCAGAAUACUUCUGUUAUCACUGCUCUGGAGGGAUCACUGCUCUAUUUGGGCAGCACUGGCAGCAAGCUGCAGAGUCCAGAGGGGAUCCCUGAAAUGCCAUUGACUUUGCCAGCUGACUGGAGCUCAACUUGAGCAACACUCUGAUCCUAAG